UACAGAGGUCCCGAGCGUUGUUUGGAUUCGCUGGGCGUAAAGGGUGCGUAGGUGGCGAGGUAAGUCGGAUGUGAAAGCUCGGAGCUCAACUCCGAAAUGGCAUUGGAAACUACCUUGCUCGAGGGUUGGAGGGGGGACUGGAAUACUUGGUGUAGCAGUGAAAUGCGUAGAUAUCAAGUGGAACGCCAGUGGCGAAGGCGAGUCCCUGGACAACUCCUGACACUGAGGCACGAAGGCUAGGGGAGCAAACAGG
This 253-nucleotide ribosomal RNA is filed under the name uncultured bacterium. Its description in RNAcentral is "partial 16S ribosomal RNA". It matches the Rfam family "Bacterial small subunit ribosomal RNA", at positions 524 to 776 of the family's 1533-position model. The record is from RNAcentral.